UAUGGCCAUAUCAUAUUGAAACAGUGGUUCCCAUACAAUCACCAAAGUCAAGCAGCAUCAAGCCUGGUCAGUAGCUAGAUGGUUGACCACUUGGGAAAACCUGGU
This is a non-coding RNA of Acanthosepion pharaonis, 105 nucleotides long. The record is from the annotation of a GenBank genome assembly. Lineage: Eukaryota; Metazoa; Mollusca; Cephalopoda; Sepiida; Sepiidae.